This 428-nucleotide ribosomal RNA is filed under the name uncultured bacterium. RNAcentral describes it as "bacterial SSU rRNA". It matches the Rfam family "Bacterial small subunit ribosomal RNA", at positions 355 to 775 of the family's 1533-position model. The record is from RNAcentral.
UGAGGAAUAUUGCGCAAUGGGCGAAAGCCUGACGCAGCGACGCCGCGUGGAGGAUGAAGGUCUUUGGAUUGUAAACUUCUGUUAAGUGGGAAGAAAAAGUUGCUUCUAAUACAAGCAAAAAAUGACGGUACCACUAAAGAAAGCACCGGCUAACUUCGUGCCAGCAGCCGCGGUAAUACGAAGGGUGCAAGCGUUAUUCGGAUUUAUUGGGUGUAAAGGGUGCGUAGACGGCAUAUUAAGUCCGCUGUUAAAUUUCCCGGCCUAACUGGGAGCCAGCGGUGGAUACUGAUGUGCUAGAGGAUGGAAGAGAGAAGUGGAAUUCCCGGAGUAGCGGUAAAAUGCGUAGAUCUCGGGAGGAACACCAAUGGCGAAGGCAGCUUCUUGGUCCAUAUCUGACGUUGAGGCACGAAAGCGUGGGGAGCAAACAG